GCCGGUGUAGCUCAGUUGGUAGAGCGCAAAAUUUGUAAUUUUGAUGUCGCGGGUUCGAUUCCUGUCACCGGCU
Molecule: transfer RNA, 73 nt
Filed under: Nocardioides sp. Root614
Lineage: Bacteria; Bacillati; Actinomycetota; Actinomycetes; Propionibacteriales; Nocardioidaceae
Rfam family: tRNA
About the family: Transfer RNA (tRNA) molecules are approximately 80 nucleotides in length. Their secondary structure includes four short double-helical elements and three loops (D, anti-codon, and T loops). Further hydrogen bonds mediate the characteristic L-shaped molecular structure. tRNAs have two regions of fundamental functional importance: the anti-codon, which is responsible for specific mRNA codon recognition, and the 3' end, to which the tRNAs corresponding amino acid is attached (by aminoacyl-tRNA synthetases). tRNAs cope with the degeneracy of the genetic code in two manners: having more than one tRNA (with a specific anti-codon) for a particular amino acid; and 'wobble' base-pairing, i.e. permitting non-standard base-pairing at the 3rd anti-codon position.
Source: Rfam by way of RNAcentral